AGAGUUUGAUCCUGGCUCAGGAUGAACGCUGGCGGCGUGCCUAAUACAUGCAAGUCGAGCGAACGGACGAGAAGCUUGCUUCUCUGAUGUUAGCGGCGGACGGGUGAGUAACACGUGGAUAACCUACCUAUAAGACUGGGAUAACUUCGGGAAACCGGAGCUAAUACCGGAUAAUAUUUUGAACCGCAUGGUUCAAAAGUGAAAGAGGGUCUUGCUGUCACUUAUAGAUGGAUCCGCGCUGCAUUAGCUAGUUGGUAAGGUAACGGCUUACCAAGGCAACGAUGCAUAGCCGACCUGAGAGGGUGAUCGGCCACACUGGAACUGAGACACGGUCCAGACUCCUACGGGAGGCAGCAGUAGGGAAUCUUCCGCAAUGGGCGAAAGCCUGACGGAGCAACGCCGCGUGAGUGAUGAAGGUCUUCGGAUCGUAAAACUCUGUUAUUAGGGAAGAACAUAUGUGUAAGUAACUGUGCACAUCUUGACGGUACCUAAUCAGAAAGCCACGGCUAACUACGUGCCAGCAGCCGCGGUAAUACGUAGGUGGCAAGCGUUAUCCGGAAUUAUUGGGCGUAAAGCGCGCGUAGGCGGUUUUUUAAGUCUGAUGUGAAAGCCCACGGCUCAACCGUGGAGGGUCAUUGGAAACUGGAAAACUUGAGUGCAGAAGAGGAAAGUGGAAUUCCAUGUGUAGCGGUGAAAUGCGCAGAGAUAUGGAGGAACACCAGUGGCGAAGGCGACUUUCUGGUCUGUAACUGACGCUGAUGUGCGAAAGCGUGGGGAUCAAACAGGAUUAGAUACCCUGGUAGUCCACGCCGUAAACGAUGAGUGCUAAGUGUUAGGGGGUUUCCGCCCCUUAGUGCUGCAGCUAACGCAUUAAGCACUCCGCCUGGGGAGUACGACCGCAAGGUUGAAACUCAAAGGAAUUGACGGGGACCCGCACAAGCGGUGGAGCAUGUGGUUUAAUUCGAAGCAACGCGAAGAACCUUACCAAAUCUUGACAUCCUUUGACAACUCUAGAGAUAGAGCCUUCCCCUUCGGGGGACAAAGUGACAGGUGGUGCAUGGUUGUCGUCAGCUCGUGUCGUGAGAUGUUGGGUUAAGUCCCGCAACGAGCGCAACCCUUAAGCUUAGUUGCCAUCAUUAAGUUGGGCACUCUAAGUUGACUGCCGGUGACAAACCGGAGGAAGGUGGGGAUGACGUCAAAUCAUCAUGCCCCUUAUGAUUUGGGCUACACACGUGCUACAAUGGACAAUACAAAGGGCAGCGAAACCGCGAGGUCAAGCAAAUCCCAUAAAGUUGUUCUCAGUUCGGAUUGUAGUCUGCAACUCGACUACAUGAAGCUGGAAUCGCUAGUAAUCGUAGAUCAGCAUGCUACGGUGAAUACGUUCCCGGGUCUUGUACACACCGCCCGUCACACCACGAGAGUUUGUAACACCCGAAGCCGGUGGAGUAACCUUUUAGGAGCUAGCCGUCGAAGGUGGGACAAAUGAUUGGGGUGAAGUCGUAACAAGGUAGCCGUAUCGGAAGGUGCGGCUGGAUCACCU
RNAcentral lists this ribosomal RNA (1540 nucleotides) under Staphylococcus aureus DAR3529. RNAcentral's name for it is "16S ribosomal RNA". It matches the Rfam family "Bacterial small subunit ribosomal RNA". Lineage: Bacteria; Bacillati; Bacillota; Bacilli; Caryophanales; Staphylococcaceae. The record is from RNAcentral.